UCAUGCCAAUGGCACUUCCCGGUAGCUAAAUGCUGAAGAGAUAAUUGCUGAAAGCAUCUAAGCACGAAACUUGCCCCGAGUUGAGUUCUCCCUGAGACUUUAAGUCUCCUGAAGGAACGUUGAAGACGACGACGUUGAUAGGCCGGGUGUGUAAGCGCAGCGAUGCGUUGAGCUAACCGGUACUAAUGAACCGUGAGGCUUAACCUU
Molecule: ribosomal RNA, 207 nt
Filed under: Salmonella enterica subsp. enterica serovar Oslo
Lineage: Bacteria; Pseudomonadati; Pseudomonadota; Gammaproteobacteria; Enterobacterales; Enterobacteriaceae
Description: partial 23S ribosomal RNA
Rfam family: Bacterial large subunit ribosomal RNA
Source: RNAcentral